Molecule: long non-coding RNA, 2894 nt
Organism: Sarcophilus harrisii (Tasmanian devil)
Lineage: Eukaryota; Metazoa; Chordata; Mammalia; Dasyuromorphia; Dasyuridae
Exons: 3
Source: RefSeq, a predicted model, not a curated record
ACAAACAAACAACAACAACAACAAACAACAACAACAACAACAACAACAAGCAACUGCGCUAUAAGAAAUGGUACAUAAGACUGUUAAGGACUAUGGCCAGGUGAAGGGUCAAGUCAAUUCUCCAAGAGCCUCCACAGCUGUGAAUCAUAAACUUGAAGGAGCUGCGGGGGCAGCCGUUGCUGACACAGGUGUUGCUUGUGGACUGGAAUGAAAUAAAUAGGAGGCAGAGGGAGGCAGGCAGAGUUCUCUCACUCUCCUUGUAUCAUGUCACCCUCUCACAAGAAGGGGUCCGUUCUCCCGGUCUGAAUUGGCAGCCACUGGCAGGUGGCUCCCAUGACAUCUGGCAGACACUAGAAGGUGGCUCCCGCGGCUCAACAGAAGACAUCGUGAGUCCUCCCAGAAAACGAGCAACCCACUUCUCUCCUUCCUGCCCCAUCCUCUCUGGGACGUCCAUAGCCCAUCCUCAAUGUCGGGUCCAACCUGGUCUUCUCUUCAGAGAUCCCCUCGGACUUUCUGAGGAUCCACUAGCGGUGAGUGAGGACGUGGAAAGCCAAACAGACUCGGCAGCAAACGUUCUUCUCGUCUACGUGCUGAAUGCCUCAUUGAAGGCGGGCUUUUGCCAACUGCGGUCUGGUGUCAGAAUUGGAUUGAAAGGUUUGGUCGCUCUGUCGAAUGUCACAAAGGUGAACGUGUAAUCGGCCGGGCUCGUGGGCCCUUGGAGACAGAGAGCCAUUGUGUUUGGGCCGGAGCCCCCAUGGGCGGGCUAGACUCUGCUGGACCCUGGAACAACACUACUCAAAGUCGGCUAUUUUGGAUUGUUUGGAUUUCACUGCUCUCCUCCAUCCCCCAAAGCAUUUGCAACUACAGGGACCUCGAAAGCCAUCUAGUCCAAUGGGAUUCUCUGAGAGCGGUCCCCCAGCUUUUACCCAAUGCCCUGCCAAGGAACCGCAAGACUUAGAGAUGGAGGAGAUCUUAAAGAUUGCCCUCACAUUUUACAGAGGAAGAAACUGAGGCUCAGAAAGACUUUCCCAAAGUCAUAGAAGUGCUAAGUAGCAAGGGCCAGGAUCCAGUGCUCUUCAUUUAGAUCUUUCUUUACACUGUGCCAUCUCUGGUCCCAGUCUGUUUGCUGUUUCAAAGAUACCAGGUGACAAGACAAAUGUUUUUAUUGUUUUUCUUCAAAAUCAGAGUAGGUGGAGAGGGGCAUAUGGGAAAGUGUAGAAAAUCAGAGAGACAGACAGGGGGAGAGACAGACGAACGGAUGGGGGGUGGGGUGGGGGGACAGACAGACAGGGAGAAACACCGAGGGAGAGGAAUAUGAAACUAAAUAGGUCUCUCCUAGUUCUCUAAAAGGCUAAUGGACAUGGGGAGAGUUGGCUCGGUUCUGGUCCCAAGAGGCAAUGUUGUUCCCUUAUUCAUUCAUGGCACAGACACUUAUUUGGCAUGCAUGUGGGCCAGGAGCCAUGCAAGACCCUGGGAUACCGGCAGAGACACAAUGUAGACCCAGGCUACACCGGCCAAGCUGGCCAGAGGCGGCCUCUUGGAGAGCAGCUGCCCUGCCCCUCCGUCCCCUCCCUCUCCUCCUCCAGUGGGAACAGCGUGGCGGGGGUGGGGGGUGCAGGGAUCUCUGGCUUUGCUGCUGAGCGCCCCGGCGGCCCCAAGGAGAGCGGGCAGAAGCUGCCCUCCCAGCCCCUCUGAACACUAGACCCAUUGGCGCCAUCUGCCACUCGGUACGGUUGUGCAUGGGCCCUGGAAGGCUAAUUUGAAUCUUGCCUCUUCUACUAGGUCCCUCAGCCAAGACUCUCCCCUUCUGUGCCUCAGUUUCUUUGCCUGUAAGAGGAAAAGCCGGCCCAGGUACAUGGGGCAGGCGUGGCCGCUGGCCAGGAUUGGGGCCGCUGGUUUUCGCUCUUUCCUAGUCUUCCCCGGCCGAGCAUCCCUCUGACGAGCAGCAGCUGCAUCUGGCAAACAGGCUGGGCAGGUCCGGGUCCUGCUGCAUCAUGUUCCAGAGUGUCCCGGCUGCCGUCUCUGUGGGACCCGGAGCGCCUGAGCCCCCGAGGUCAGGCAGAUGUUUGGAGAACGGCUCGCCCGGAACAAGGACUGCUCUGUCUCUUUCCAGGGCAACUUGGGGAAAGAAACAGAGCCUGGGUCCCGGCCCUGGCUGUUCUGCCAACUGAAUGGCCACGUGGCCUGGGCAGCAGGCGGGGAUUGCAUCACAGGGAACUAGCACACCUCGGGACUCUCCAGACACAGACAGUUUGCACAGACCCGCAGUGGGAAGUACUGUGUGCCAGUGGCACCGAGGGGUGACAUAGUGGCUGUCGGAGCACCUGAGCAGGGCAGAAAUCUUCCUUGGGCCCCUCGGCCUUUUCUCCUUCCUGCCAAGAAGACCUACAGUUUUGUGGGCUCCCUCUUCAAACCGAAAGAUGAUCCAGUCACCCACUUCCCAGGCUUCCACUGCCUCUCACAUCUACUCAUUUAUAGGAGCUUCUGGCUGUCCCUCAUCCAUAACAUCCCGUUCCCAUCUCCCUCUCCAUCCAUUGGCCCACACUGCGCCCCAUUCCUGGAAAGGUCUCCUUUCUUACCUAGACUUCCCAGAAUUCCUCCACAGAACUCAGAACUAUGAGCACAGCAGUAGAGAUUUUAAAACUGGCCAGAGCUGUGCUAAGCCUUGGGUCUGGAGGACCGAAGCCGGAGUUCUCCCUCCCUCACCGUCCACCCUCCCGAGGGAUGAGGAUGGAGAUGCACGUUCUCAGGCUGCACGGUUGGAAACUGGUUUGGCCGGAUGAUGUGCGCUGAUGACGAGGGCUCUGUUUUUUAUUUACUUGUAUUUUUUGUUCUGUGGGUGUGGGAGGGAGAGGUAAUACAGGCCUUAAAAAAAGUAAAUGAUAAAAAAUCUC